Molecule: ribosomal RNA, 253 nt
Filed under: uncultured bacterium
Lineage: Bacteria
Description: partial 16S ribosomal RNA
Rfam family: Bacterial small subunit ribosomal RNA
Source: RNAcentral
UACGUAGGGUGCAAGCGUUGUCCGGAAUUAUUGGGCGUAAAGAGCUCGUAGGCGGUCUGUCGCGUCGGCUGUGAAAACUCGGGGCUCAACCCCGAGCCUGCAGUCGAUACGGGCAGACUAGAGUGCGGUAGGGGAGACUGGAAUUCCUGGUGUAGCGGUGAAAUGCGCAGAUAUCAGGAGGAACACCGGUGGCGAAGGCGGGUCUCUGGGCCGGUAACUGACGCUGAGGAGCGAAAGCGUGGGGAGCAACAGG